Molecule: ribosomal RNA, 465 nt
Filed under: uncultured bacterium
Lineage: Bacteria
Description: bacterial SSU rRNA
Rfam family: Bacterial small subunit ribosomal RNA
Source: RNAcentral
CCUACGGGGUGCACCAGUGGGGAAUAUUGCACAAUGGGCGCGAGCCUGACGCAGCCAUGCCGCGUGUAUGAAGAAGGCCUUCGGGUUGUAAAGUACUUUCAGCGGGGAGGAAGGCGAUAAGGUUAAUAACCUUGUCGAUUGACGUUACCCGCAGAAGAAGCACCGGCUAACUCCAUGCCAGCAGCCGCGGUAAUACGGAGGGUGCAAGCGUUAAUCGGAAUUACUGGGCGUAAAGCGCACGCAGGCGGUCUGUCAAGUCGGAUGUGAAACCCCCGGGCUCAACCUGGGAACUGCAUUCGAAACUGGCAGGCUAGAGUCUUGUAGAGGGGGGUAGAAUUCCAGGUGUAGCGGUGAAAUGCGUAGAGAUCUGGAGGAAUACCGGUGGCGAGGGCGGCCCCCUGGACAAAGACUGACGCUCAGGUGCGAAAGCGUGGGGAGCAAACAGGAUUAGAUACCCCAGUAGUC